AGAUGAGGCCCCUGAUUGGGGUCUCCGGCACUGGGGGCGGGGCUGUCUCGCGGCUGCGCAGAGGCCUCUAGACAGGUGAGGUUUACUAGUGCCUCUGCGUUUUCCCGGCGUCUCUAUGGUCAGCUUACCUAGCGCGCACCUUUGCCUGUUUUCCUAAGAGGACCCUUGCUUUCAGGUGUCAGGACAAGUUUAGAAACUGGGGCGGGGGGGGGGUGCUCUACAGCAUAGGUGACCUCCCACUUAAGUAGUCAAUCAUUUGGAUUAUAAAAAAAUAAAGUGCAGGCUGAGUAAAAAGCGUGAACUGAACUAACACUUCUGGAGUGGUAUUCACUCUUCAAUGUCUUUACAAAGCCCAAGCCAGUGAAAAUGGAGUUUAAUGUACAAAACUCUGAAUGACCGUAUGACUGGAAUGAAAACGGGAGUUGACCUCCCCUAUGACCCCUGGAUUGGAUGUCCUGCUGCUUUUGAGUUUCUUUGUUUCUCAUGUAAGCCCUUUUCAUUUCAUUCUCAUACCUUAGGCGGAGAUAUAAUCAUCAUUCCUGAUUGUAUAGACGAGGAGGCAGAGAGAUACAAAUUAAAUGACAGCUUGGAGUCACAGAACGCCUUCAGACCUAGAAAAGAUGUUUAGGAGGGCAUUUAUCCUGCUCUGAGUUCUUCGAAAACGCAAGGCUUUAACGCUGAGAGGCAGCAGAGUCAGCAGCAGGAGAGUGAGAGGGCAGGAAACUUCUAGAUUUGUGUCACCAGCAAAUUGUUUCUGACCCACAGCAAGAGUUUUUUGUCUUUUUGUCUUUUUAGGGCCACACGCAAAGCAUAUGGAGGUUCCCAGGGCUAAGGGUCUAAUCGGAGCUGUAGCCGCAGGCCUAGGCCAGAGCCACAGCAACAGCAGAUCCGAGCCCCCUGUGCGUGUGACCUACACCACAGUUCACGCCAAUGCCAGAUCUUUAACCCACUGAGUAAGGCCAGAGAUCGAACCCGAAACCUCAUGGUUCCUAGUCAAAUUUGUUUCUGCUGUGACAUGACUGGAAUGCCAAUAAAUAUUGUUUGAAUUAGCAGACAGUCCUGGGUUCAACUCAUUGCUCCAUAACAUUCUAGUUGUAAUGACUCUUCUCUAUCAGUUAACCCUCUCCUCUUGGAAGCAAGCCUGGUUUUUACUGCAGCUGUGGUGCUUGAGUUGGGAGGUUAGAGACACCUUUGGCUCUAAGCGCCCAAUUCUGGGGUAGUAGAAUGUCCAGUUAGGGCCACUGAACCUAGAAAAGGAGUUUGCCAGGGGACUGGGGGAAAGAUGCUAUUUCUCCUUCUGGACAUGUGAUAUGUGGAUGGUGCUGCGGCAGCCAUUUUGCCGCCCUGAGGAGGGAGCCCUUGUGUGACGAGGUAGACAAGAGAGAUGGGGAGAGAUCAAGCGUUUGAUAACUGUAUCGGGAACCAAAUCAACCUUGAAGUUUGAGCUUUCUAAAAGCCAGUACAUUCUCUUUUUACAUUAUUAUUACUAUUUAAAUUUGAGCAUAAGCAGAAAAUACUUGUAAGUUAUCUGGCAGGACUUAGUGCACUAGCAGAGUGUGUGAGUUAACCUCCCCUGAAACUCAGGGCCUCAUCUAUAGAGGAGGGAAAGUAAUACCAUCAUUUCCUCUGGUUGACGUGAGGAGCGAGUGAAUGGUACAGGGUGUGGUCAGUGCUUAGCCCAGGGCUGACCACACAGCAAACAUUCAGGGGACGUUAGUGUGCUUUGACAUUUUCCAUUGACAGCAACUUCCUUGUUUGCCAAGGAUCCUUCCCCAAACUGGCUCUGUAACUUGGGACAAAUGUACUGACAAAUUGGUAGGAUUUGUCACCAAAUCACAUGGGCACCUUCUGGAAGAUGAGCCCAGCUGGAGCAGCUGUGAAGCCAGUGGCCCAUUUGCUGAGUGGAGUCUGUCCAGGGAGGAAGGACGCAGGUGGUCAGAUAUGCAGAGCUGCUGGCAGCUCUCAAGACUGGCCUUAUGUAGGCAUCUUGGGGUCUGUGAACAUCAGGCUGAGUUUUCCCCGUUGUCACUGCACUUCUCUGGUGUCACAACUAACAGUGUUUGUUUGCUGUGUGACUUGGAACUGAUCAACUCGCGGGUCUACAGUGAUGGCUGGCCAGUUGUGCCUCCAAUAGCGGCUGCUAAAAGAAACAUGUGCUAUUUUUUCUCUCUGCUUUAAAGGAGUCAUCCAAGCUGCUGCUAGAUGGGGCUGCAUUUCUGGGAGGUCACUUGGGACCUGACUUUUGGGGAGAUUCUGGGGAGACAGGAAGAAAGGAGGCCCAUAUGCUUAGGAGCUGAGGUGUGGCCAUGAGCCCAGAGGGGAGGUGUGAGGUGGACAGCCAUGUGACCAGGGAGAGAGAGAGCUGGAGUGAAGCUGUGCGCGCGCGCACGCGCGCACACACACACACACACCACAGUCACUGUGAAGAGUGGCUGCCUUGACUCCCAAUGGUUUCUCAUUCCUUCUGUGGCAAAUUAUACUUUCCAAAAAUGGCCACACUAAGACUUGGCUCCCACAUGCUCAUCCAGCACUGUGCCUUGCCUGGGUCAGAAGUUGGCAUUAGUUCCCUCCUCCCCUCCUCGUGGGCUCAGGUGGCCCUCCACUGUUCAGAAGAAAUAGUCUGUGCAACCUCCGUGGGCUCUGGGUGCAGGUGUCCUUGGCACCAGCCACUGUGCGGUGUAAGCCCUGGCCAUGUGGACAGGCCCGUGGGAAGAGGAACAGCUGAGCCACCUAGACGCUAGCAGUCCUGGGAGCCAGCUGCCUUGGAAAUGGACUCCCCAGUCCUGGUUGGGUUGCCAGGGCUGGUAUGGCUGGUGUGGCUCCAGGCAGAAAUGAGCCCCCCUUCCAUGCCCCAGCGAUCACAGAUUCCUGAGCUGCCUCUGUUGCUGGUGGUGCUGCCUGUGUCUGGCCUAGUCAGUGCCCACUGACUUAACUCUCUGGACCCUCCCAUUUCUCAGCUUCUCAGCAGCUUCCAUGAACUGCCUUGUGAAGUGCUGGUGCCUGGUGGGCGUCUUAGCCUGGCUCCUCCAGGCUAGCAUGUUCAGAACAGGGACCUGGUGCAGAUUGUGGGUUCAGGAGGUGCAGAGCCCUGCUGGGGUGGUGGGGUUGAGACAAGAAGGCUGGUGUGACACUGUGAUUUAUAUUAAAAGUUACAGAUUUGGUACCCCUUCCUGCAGAGCUCCUAAACCCUUGCAAUUUCCUAAGUGCCGAGAGCAAUAAAGACGUCUUUUGCUGUGUUAACGAGGUGACCUGAGAGACCACCCCUAAGGGUGGGGCUGGUUGCCAGGAGAAUGACCAGUACUUCGAGGCUUAGAGGGUUGACCUUCUAGCCCCAGCCUGGACUCUGAGGAGGGGAGAGGCUUGGAGGUUGAGUUCGAUCACCAAUGCCCAAAGGUCCAACCAACCAUCUGUGCACUGAGGCUCCAUUAAGCCCCAAUAGAUGGGCACUGUGAACUUCUGGGGUGAGGAACAUGUGGAGGUGCUGGGGGCGCUGUGUUUGGAGAAGCUCUGAGCCCCUUCCCCACGCCCUGCCCUGUGUGUCUCCUCCAUCUGACGGUCCCUGAUACACAUCCUUUCAUAAUAAACCAGUGGGGUAGCAAGUGAAGUGUUCCCUGCGUUCUAUGAGCCAUUCCAGCAAGUUCAUCCACCCUGAGGAGGGGUCCUGGGGACCUCUGAUCCACAGCCAGGGGACCGCCUGGACUUGUGACUGGUGUCUGAAGUGGGGGGUGGGCUUGAGGGCUGGGCCUUCACCUGUGGGAUCCUCUGCCCACGUCCAGCAGGUGCGCCCUGAGGUCACCCUCCCAGUGCUCAGGCCACACAGGAAUGGUGGUUGGGGGUCUCUGCUGGGGGUGAAUGAGAGUGAGAAGACGAGAUGUCUCAAUACCAGACGGCCUGGGUCAUGUCCAGGGGGGUCCUCUUGGCCCCAUGAGGGGUCAGCACCUUGUUACCGGUGUGUUGCGGUGACACCCAGUAAGCCCAAGUACAUCCACUGCUAACAGACCACACGCACUGGGACGCUCUGGGGGCUUGUCGGCUCACAGAUGCCAGAGCCUUUGCCUUGGUUUCUGCUGCAGGAAAACAGGGUGAGGCCUGGGCUUGCAUUUCUAACAAAGUCCUGGGGCUCACUGGAGCCACUGGUGCUGGCCAGGACCACAUGGAGAACCACGGUCCUGACCAGAGGACAGUACCCAGACGGGGCUCCUGGGACUGUGGGUGAGAUCUGGGGAAGAGUGCCUGGAAGUGGAGGCUUCUUGGAUUCUGCUGAUGGCAAUGACCUCCCAGCCCACAUCUGGGAUUCUGACUUCUCGUAAUUCUAGCACCUUUUUUUUUUUUUUUUUUUUUUUCCUGGGUCUUUUGUCUUUUUAGUGCUACACCCACAGCAUAUGGAGGUUUCCAGGCUAGAGGUCUGAUCGGAGCUGUUGCUGCCGGCCUACACCAGAGCCACAGCAACGCCAGAUCCAAGCCGUGUCUGCAAACUACACCACAGCUCACAGCAAUGCCAGAUCCUGAACCUGCUGAUCGAGGCCAGGGAUUGAACCUGCAAUCUCAUGGUUCCUAGUCAGAUUCAUUUCCGCUGCGCCACAAGGGGAACUCCUGAUUGUAGCAUCUUAAAUUGAGUCUUGCUUUCCACUCCCCUGGCAGUUAGUCCAGACCUGACUAUGCUGCUUGAUUUCUCCACUUCUGAUGCUGCCUGGACUUGUCCUGCCCUUGGAUUCUGAGCUGCUAUUCAAGCAGCGGCCACACGAGUGUGGUCCAGACUUUGCAAAGAGCCUCUGUGCACACAUCUGCUCAGCUCGGCGCCUCUGGACCUAUGGGGAUAAAGUGCUCCGUCUUUUCCAAGAUCUAAGUGGGCAAAUGGUGCAAACUCAAGAGUAUCUCCUGUGCCUUGGCAGUGGGUGCCGAGGGCUUUGGGUUUCUUUUCACUGGGAGGAAAGGUUAGGAUCCUCUGGGAAAAGUGGAUGCCAUGUGCGCACCCAGAGCGGCAGAGUCCCACGAGGUGAAGUUAAGCAAAUGGUCCACCAGACUGGGGGCCACUGCCUUCUGGAAGAAGAGGUUGAAAGUGUCCCUGAGGAAGAAGGCCUGACAGUGAUGGCAGCAAGCACGCUGGUCACAGCUCAUCCUCACCCCGCUCCACCCCCGCCAGCACAGCUGCAGAGUCUGUCUUGUUCUCUCAGUAUCUCUUUAAGCCCCUGCUUGUUGCUUAGGAACAAACCCUGUAAUUUAGAAGUCAGAUCAAAUGAUGAUUUUUAUUUUAAAGAACUGUGCGAACGAUUGCAAACUUCUCAUCCCUCACUGUCAGGAUUCGUGACUGGCAGCAGCUACCAAAUGGCAGAGAUUUUCUUGGGGGGAGGGGGUGAAGCAAACUGAUGCUCCAAACUGAAAAUGCUUCCUUCUUCCAGAUUCUGAGUUAGACGCUGUGUAGAUAGAGCUCCUUAGUGGCCUAAGCAGUCAAGGAUCUGGUGUUGUCACCUCAGUGGCUUGUGUCGAUGCCGUGGCGCAGGUUUGAUCUCUGGCCUGGGAACUUCCACAUGCCAUGGGUGUGGCCAGCCCCCCCCCCACCAUAAAACAGAACAAAACCAAUGAGUCUGGCUUUUAAAAAUUCCAUAUAUAAGUGAUAUUUAUAUACUGUAUUUUUCUCCCACUGUUGGACUUAUCUGAGCAUACUGCCCUCAGGUCCAGCCAUGUUAUAACAACUAAUAGAAUUUCCUUCUUUUUUAUGGUUGAAUAAUAUACAUACAUAUAUUAUUUGUAUAUUAAUAAUAAACAUAAAAUUUUAUAUAUAAAUAAAUGUAUAAUUUAUAUCUAAAUAUCAAACAUUUUUUUUUGGUUUCAUUCUCCCCCUUGUUAGUAUAUGAGUCUUGUGUCUAGAGGAACAGGACAGAGGAAAGGAAGGAUAAGAAAAGGAUGGAGAUGGGAGUUCCCCUGCGGCUUAGUGGAAAUGAAUCUGACUCGCAUCCAUGAGGACACAGGUUCGAUCCCUAGUCUCACUCCGUGGGUUAAGGAUCUGGCAUUGCUGUGAGCUGUGGUGUAGGUCACAGACGCAGCUCAGAUCUGGCAUUGCCAUGGCUCUGGUGUAGGCUGGCAGCUACAGCUCCAAUUCAACCUCUAGCCUGAGAACUAAAAAAAAAAAAAAAGAAAAGAAAAG
RNAcentral lists this long non-coding RNA (6145 nucleotides) under Sus scrofa (pig). RNAcentral's name for it is "lncRNA (ENSSSCG00005020161.1)". The record is from RNAcentral. Lineage: Eukaryota; Metazoa; Chordata; Mammalia; Artiodactyla; Suidae.